GACGAACGCUGGCGGCGUGCUUAACACAUGCAAGUCGAACGGAAAGGCCCUGCUUUUGUGGGGUGCUCGAGUGGCGAACGGGUGAGUAACACGUGAGUAACCUGCCCUUGACUUUGGGAUAACUUCAGGAAACUGGGGCUAAUACCGGAUAGGAGCUCCUGCUGCAUGGUGGGGGUUGGAAAGUUUCGGCGGUUGGGGAUGGACUCGCGGCUUAUCAGCUUGUUGGUGGGGUAGUGGCUUACCAAGGCUUUGACGGGUAGCCGGCCUGAGAGGGUGACCGGCCACAUUGGGACUGAGAUACGGCCCAGACUCCUACGGGAGGCAGCAGAGGGGAAUAUUGCACAAUGGGCGGAAGCCUGAUGCAGCAACGCCGCGUGCGGGAUGACGGCCUUCGGGUUGUAAACCGCUUUCGCCUGUGACGAAGCGUGAGUGACGGUAAUGGGUAAAGAAGCACCGGCUAACUACGUGCCAGCAGCCGCGGUGAUACGUAGGGUGCGAGCGUUGUCCGGUUUUAUUGGGCGUAAAGGGCUCGUAGGUGGUUGAUCGCGUCGGAAGUGUAAUCUUGGGGCUUAACCCUGAGCGUGCUUUCGAUACGGGUUGACUUGAGGAAGGUAGGGGAGAAUGGAAUUCCUGGUGGAGCGGUGGAAUGCGCAGAUAUCAGGAGGAACACCAGUGGCGAAGGCGGUUCUCUGGGCCUUUCCUGACGCUGAGGAGCGAAAGCGUGGGGAGCGAACAGGCUUAGAUACCCUGGUAGUCCACGCUGUAAACGGUGGGUACUAGGUGUGGGGUCCAUUCCACGGGUUCCGUGCCGUAGCUAACGCUUUAAGUACCCCGCCUGGGGAGUACGGCCGCAAGGCUAAAACUCAAAGGAAUUGACGGGGCCCCGCACAAGCGGCGGAGCAUGCGGAUUAAUUCGAUGCAACGCGUAGAACCUUACCUGGGUUUGACAUGGAUCGGGAGCGCUCAGAGAUGGGUGUGCCUCUUUUGGGGUCGGUUCACAGGUGGUGCAUGGCUGUCGUCAGCUCGUGUCGUGAGAUGUUGGGUUAAGUCCCGCAACGAGCGCAACCCUUGUUCACUGUUGCCAGCACGUUAUGGUGGGGACUCAGUGGAGACCGCCGGGGUCAACUCGGAGGAAGGUGGGGAUGACGUCAAGUCAUCAUGCCCCUUAUGUCCAGGGCUUCACGCAUGCUACAAUGGCUGGUACAGAGAGUGGCGAGCCUGUGAGGGUGAGCGAAUCUCGGAAAGCCGGUCUCAGUUCGGAUUGGGGUCUGCAACUCGACCUCAUGAAGUCGGAGUCGCUAGUAAUCGCAGAUCAGCAACGCUGCGGUGAAUACGUUCCCGGG
This 1343-nucleotide ribosomal RNA is filed under the name uncultured bacterium. RNAcentral's name for it is "16S ribosomal RNA". It matches the Rfam family "Bacterial small subunit ribosomal RNA", at positions 28 to 1378 of the family's 1533-position model. The record is from RNAcentral.